UCAUCAUAGCGGAUGAACACUCCAAAGAGGAUGACCAUAGCAAUCUGCCACACGAAGCAGACCACGGGCAGACUAACCCGCACAUUGGUGUUCUUCCGGACAUUGCACAUGGCCUCGCAGCAGUUCCCCAUGGCGACACGACCUGACGACCCUCAGCUCGCUGUGCUUCUGCUGCAGCAUCACAGCAGGUGGGGCUGAUGGAGAGGAUGGAUGAGGGGACACCACGUUACCGCACGGCAGAGUCAGUAUCGCCACAAGGUGCUUUUUGAGACGUCCCCAUUUCACCCCCCAAAAAGUUGAGUUCCUUCGUCCAUUGAACUUCAUAUUCACUGUAGCUUUCUCAGGGAGACCGAGGGGUGCAAUUCCUCAAGACCAUACCCACAGUGAACCAACCUGGUGGCCUAUUCAACUGAAUCUGGGACCUUAGUCAGGGUAGAGGCAAUUAUGAACAGUGCCAAAUAAUAGUCAAUUUUCACGCUAAACCUUCAGAUACCUACUUCUAGGAUGAACAUACAUUUUACCAGAACUUUUCUGUGUUGUAAAUCAAGUCUUAAAAUGCACAUUGAUCAUUUAACCAUGCAAAAACAGUUUGUACAUGCACCACACACAACUCUCAGUUAUGUUUAGACUAACACAACAAUGUUAUAUAUCACUGAAGUAUAAAUUGAAGAAGAAAAGGGAGUGCCACUGCAGGCAUGAAAACUAUUUGCGCUAAUAGAUGUGGAAAUGAUACAUAGUCGCCUUCAAAUACUUCCCCUGGCCUGGCGUCUAUGCACAUGUGACAGUGGGGCUGUAUGGAGGUUUGAGAUGUUAUCUUGCAUUUUACAUUCCAACCUUGUUGUCCAUCACAUGCCUUGUUACGCUCUGCAUUAGCUGGGGAAUGAUGCCUCAAGAGAUAUUAGCAGCGCCUGUGAGUUAGCGUGGAAGUCAGACACACACCAGUGAAAUUGAGCAAUUAUGAAAACAAAGCUUGUCCCUUCCUUUUUCUGCACUUGAGUGUUGAGUGUUGCCACAAUGUAUGAUGAGGAUCGACAUCAUGUGGCUUUAGUCCUGUUUGUAAAAAAAAAAAAUUGUCAUGCAGGCUACGGUGGAACCUCUACAGCAGGGGUUCUCAAACCUUUUACACCAAGUAAAGCCUAAAAAAAUACUUGGCUCUCCACAUACCACCAUAAUGACCAACAUUAAAAUACAGUAGCAUACAGUCUUAAAAAUAAUAAUAAUAAUAAUUUUUUAAAAAGUUAAUAACUUUUUUCAUGCAAAGGCUUAGCUAGACUUGCUUAUAUCCAGCGUUGGAAAGAUUACUUUGGAAAUCUAGUUGGUUACAAUUACAAUUUACUAUUUCAAUUAUUUUCUCAAAGUAAUACAACCAUUUUUACAUUUUGAUUACCUUUCUUAAUUUUUAAUGAAUGCAUCAACAGGACCCUAGGAUGUUUCCUAUCAAAUCAUAGAUCAUCAUUUUGGAAUUAAUCACAUAUUUGUUCUUCAGUUUGUUCUUAAGCCUCAAACAGAAGAUUGAAGUUUUUUUUCACUUUUUAUGCACAUCGCUGUCCUGGCUGCUCAGUACAAUAUGGCCAAAGCGUCUAUAAGUGGACAUGAAUAAUACAAUACAAAGAACAGAAUUUACACUUGACUGAGCUAUGUUUAGUCAUUCUUUUUUAGUCCCUUUGUUUGUCACAGUGUCAUGCAUCAUCAACAUGUUAAGUAUGACUAGACAAUGUGUUAUUCAAAUCCAUCCAUCCAUUUUCCAUUGUGCUUGUCUUAAUUACGGCUGUGGGCAGACACAUGCACACAUAGACCCCAAGUGGUGCUCAUGCAACUGUCCUUUUCCCUGCCUGAAAAAAGUGGCCUUUUUGUUGCAGCCCCUUUUUUUUCAUUCAUUAAUAUUUAUUGAAUAAUUUUUUUUUUUUAUAGUGAAAACAAUACCUUCACUGUCAUUAGUUCCAACCAAAAUGUUUUCAAAUUGGAGGGUUUUUAUUCCUUGGAGAAUUAUUCGUAUGUUCACAACUUAAUCUAUUUCGGGUAAAUCUGAGGCGCUUUAAAUGGUGACAGGUGUGUGCUAACCCCCUCAUUUAAAAUGGGUUUGAAUGUGUUCGCUUCUGAACACAGCCACAUCCCCAUUCACUGAAUAAGAGGGUGUGUGUACUUGUGCAACCACGUCAUCUCACUUGUUUAUUUUUCUUCACCUCAAAAAGUUUUCAAUUGAGCUGUACAAGUUAUAUGUACAGUAGGUUAAUUAAUAGUGGGGAAAAAAAGUUUUUAAAAUGAGUUUUCUCUUUUUUGUAUAUUACAAACACCUGACAUUUGUUAUUACGUAGUCACCUCCUUUGUUAAAAUGGUAUUAUUGACUGUGAUGAUUGUGUUAAAAGAAAUAAAUGGAGAAGUAAAAAAAAAAAAACCUACAGAUUUUUCCUAAUUGUAUGAAUAAUUUUGGCCAUGGGUGCCCUUGGGUGAGCACCUGCCCCCCAAAAUGUCUAUGCAUGUGCCAUAUGCUUGACCGUGGGUGAGCUGGAAUAAUGUUUGGCUGAGAAGCCGCGGUGUACACCCUAAAACUCGUCAGUGGCCGAUCACAGCGCACAUGUAGGCGAACAACCAUUCACACUCACAUGCACACCUAGGGACAAUUUAAAGUUUUGAAUUCACCUCACGUGCAGGUUUUUGGAAUGUGGGAGGAAACCAGAGUACCCGCGUAAAACCACAACCCUCAGAACGAUGCUAACCACUUGGCAACUAUGUUGCCCUAAUGUUGUCACGUUUUAUUUUAAUAACAGUAAACUUGUUUUUACACAAUAAAAUACACAUAAAAACACUUGCCUCAUUGCCUGUACAGUUAAUAAAUGUUUAUGAUGGCAAAAGGUUGACCCUGGAAUAGAUUUCAUAUGGGGAAAAUGAUUCUAAAUAAAAAUUAUUUUUAAAAAAUUCUCAUAUGAAUAUAAAUGAGUUGCCAUUAUUUCUAAUCUUAUGUGACACCUGAAAUGUUCCCAUCAUUCUGAUAUCUAAAAAGUGUUGCAUCCCAGGCCAAAAGGCAAAUGAUCUAGUAGUUCAUUAGAUGAUUGUUUGGCAUAAGAUUAAGGCACUUAGGCCCUCGAGUUGUUAUGAGCGGGCUGACGAGAGUGACUAAGCUACCAGAAAUUUGAACGGGAACAUAGCAGCCAGAUGCCAGAGCGAUAUUAAAGCGUCAGGCAGAUGUCUGCUGCCGGCUGACAGCGAAGGGCAGAGCUCGCCCAGGACGAUGUAAUACGGCGAUAACCUUAGUCAGGCUCAGAAUAGGAGAACUUCGUUGUGUCACAUGGUCUAUCACGCACACACACAUGCACACACCCUCAUGUUUGUCAAGAGCAAACACAGGUGAGCCUCCUGCCUUUAUUGUUUCUCUGUGCUAAACUAUUAGGAACAUGCCACUGUGGCAUGGCUAAAUAAAAAUGUAAAGAAAAUAAAUUGUUCAGGCCAGCAAACACUUUUGAAAUAAUCCCAAAUUAUUCAUAUUUCUCUUUUGUUUAUAAUUUAACAUACUAAUGUUUCCACCUCAGAUUCUACAAAUAACACAUGUCAAGGAAAAGAAUGUAAACAUUUCAUUUUUAAAAAUGAGAUUGUCAUGGUGAAUUGUGCAGAAAUAUUUGGACAAUGACAACAACUUUGUGUAUAUAUAUAUAUAUACAUAUAUAUAUAAGCUCCUACUAAGUAAAAAAUUGUGGGUACUAGACUGGCCUGCCUGCAGUCCAGACCUGUCUCCUAUUGAAAAUGUGUGCCGCAUUAUGAAGCGUAAAAUACGACCACGGAGACCCUGGACUUCAAGCAUGGGAAGAAUUCCACCUACAAAGCUUCAACAAUUAGUGUCCUCAGUUCCCAAACAUUUAUUGAAUGUUGUUAAAAGAAAAGGUGAUGUAACACAUUGGUAAACAUGACCCU
Molecule: long non-coding RNA, 3906 nt
Organism: Phyllopteryx taeniolatus (common seadragon)
Lineage: Eukaryota; Metazoa; Chordata; Actinopteri; Syngnathiformes; Syngnathidae
Exons: 3
Source: RefSeq, a predicted model, not a curated record